GGAUCCCAUCAGAACUUCGAAGUUAAGCGUGCUUGGGCGAGAAUAGUACUAGGAUGGGUGACCUCCUGGGAAGUCCUCGUGUUGUAUUCCCC
RNAcentral lists this ribosomal RNA (92 nucleotides) under Hordeum vulgare subsp. spontaneum. Lineage: Eukaryota; Viridiplantae; Streptophyta; Magnoliopsida; Poales; Poaceae. The record is from RNAcentral.